Molecule: ribosomal RNA, 253 nt
Filed under: uncultured bacterium
Lineage: Bacteria
Description: partial 16S ribosomal RNA
Rfam family: Bacterial small subunit ribosomal RNA
Source: RNAcentral
UACGUAGGCAGCGAGCGUUGUUCGGAGUUACUGGGCGUAAAGGGUGUGUAGGCGGUCGGGUAAGUCUGAUGUGAAAUCUCACAGCUUAACUGUGAAACUGCAUUGGAUACUAUUCGGCUAGAGAGUUGGAGGGGGGACUGGAAUUCUCGGUGUAGCAGUGAAAUGCGUAGAUAUCGGGAGGAACACCGGUGGCGAAGGCGGCGACCUGGGUCGACACUGACGCUGAGGCGCGAAAGCGUGGGGAGCAAACAGG